UCCUGGUUAUUCCAGGCAGUCCUCCAAGAGUGCUUCCUACAUCCUUACGGACAUAAGAUUAGCAACAUGGAGCAAUGGUUGCGCUCGUUGCGGGACUUAACCCAACAUCUCACGACACGAGCUGACGACAGCCAUGCAGCACCUGUACAGGCUCCCGAUUUAACGGGUCGUUCCCCUUUCGGUUCACUACUUCCUGUAUGUCAAGUCCUGGUGAGGUUUUUCGCGUAGCAUCGAAUUAAACCACAUGUUCCACCGCUUGUGCGGGUCCCCGUCAAUUCCUUUGAGUUUUAACCUUGCGGCCGUAGUCCCCAGGUGGAGUACUUAAUGCGUUAGCUGCGGCACUGAGCCCGAAGGCCCAACACCUAGUACUCAUCGUUUACGGCUAGGACUAC
This 392-nucleotide unclassified non-coding RNA is filed under the name uncultured bacterium. RNAcentral describes it as "contains 16S-23S intergenic spacer region". The record is from RNAcentral.